This 1154-nucleotide ribosomal RNA is filed under the name uncultured bacterium. Its description in RNAcentral is "bacterial SSU rRNA". It matches the Rfam family "Bacterial small subunit ribosomal RNA", at positions 38 to 1183 of the family's 1533-position model. The record is from RNAcentral.
AGCUACAGGCUUAACACAUGCAAGUCGAGGGGAAACGACAUCGAAAGCUUGCUUUUGAUGGGCGUCGACCGGCGCACGGGUGAGUAACGCGUAUCCAACCUGCCCACCACUUGGGGAUAACCUUGCGAAAGUAAGACUAAUACCCAAUGACGUCUCUAGAAGACAUCUGAAAGAGAUUAAAGAUUUAUCGGUGAUGGAUGGGGAUGCGUCUGAUUAGCUUGUUGGCGGGGUAACGGCCCACCAAGGCGACGAUCAGUAGGGGUUCUGAGAGGAAGGUCCCCCACAUUGGAACUGAGACACGGUCCAAACUCCUACGGGAGGCAGCAGUGAGGAAUAUUGGUCAAUGGACGAGAGUCUGAACCAGCCAAGUAGCGUGCAGGAUGACGGCCCUAUGGGUUGUAAACUGCUUUUAUAAGGGAAUAAAGUGAGUCUCGUGAGACUUUUUGCAUGUACCUUAUGAAUAAGGACCGGCUAAUUCCGUGCCAGCAGCCGCGGUAAUACGGAAGGUCCGGGCGUUAUCCGGAUUUAUUGGGUUUAAAGGGAGCGUAGGCCGGAGAUUAAGCGUGUUGUGAAAUGUAGACGCUCAACGUCUGCACUGCAGCGCGAACUGGUUUCCUUGAGUACGCACAAAGUGGGCGGAAUUCGUGGUGUAGCGGUGAAAUGCUUAGAUAUCACGAAGAACUCCGAUUGCGAAGGCAGCUCACUGGAGCGCAACUGACGCUGAAGCUCGAAAGUGCGGGUAUCGAACAGGAUUAGAUACCCUGGUAGUCCGCACGGUAAACGAUGGAUGCCCGCUGUUGGUCUGAAUAGGUCAGCGGCCAAGCGAAAGCAUUAAGCAUCCCACCUGGGGAGUACGCCGGCAACGGUGAAACUCAAAGGAAUUGACGGGGGCCCGCACAAGCGGAGGAACAUGUGGUUUAAUUCGAUGAUACGCGAGGAACCUUACCCGGGCUUGAAUUGCAGAGGAAGGAUUUGGAGACAAUGACGCCCUUCGGGGCCUCUGUGAAGGUGCUGCAUGGUUGUCGUCAGCUCGUGCCGUGAGGUGUCGGCUUAAGUGCCAUAACGAGCGCAACCCCUCUCCUUAGUUGCCAUCAGGUCAAGCUGGGCACUCUGGGGACACUGCCACCGUAAGGUGUGAGGAAGGUGGGGAUGAC